AAAAGAAAAGAAAAGAAAAGAAAAGAAAAGAAAAGAAAAGAAAAGAAAAGGAGUUACAGCCCAUCUGAGCACCUGAAGGCUGGCCUCAGAGGCAAAACCCACAUUGUUUAAUGUGUUGUGUUAUUUUAGGGCACACCUAUGACAUUUAAGAGGCACAUUUUUAAGACUAACCUCAGUGGCAGAAAUCUUCUUUUCUGUAGCAUGGAGUCCUUUGCCCAAGGACAGCACUGUCAGAAGGACACCCACUGCAAUCUGGCCAAAUCCAGUGCACACUUCCUAGGCACUUACAGGGACUGGACAGAAUACUGUCUGAAUGAGAUGAAGAAAAACAUCAAGACUGGGAUCUUUGGAAGCAAAAAAAAAAUUAAGAGAAGUUUGGAAGAUAUUUAUGCCCACUGUGUUCUGUCUACUGAGAAAAAACCAAAAUUCCUUAUAUAUGUGUCACUCUGCCUGACUGAUGGUUUCAGAGCUCAGACUGACAUGACUGUGGUUUAAAGGCAGAUGGAUGGAAGAGGAAGCCACUUGCACCAUUCCAGAGGAUGCCAGGACCUGCUUCCCUUGCAAAUAGGCUCCUAAAAUUCUGUUUUCCAAUGCACAUCUUACAGCAGCCUGGAAGUCUGGAAUGAGCUUACAUUCACAAAUUGAGCUCUCAGGAUAGUGGCUGCAGUGACAUCUGUCAGGGAGGGAGAGAUGACAGCCGCAGGUGAUAACAGCUUCAGGUAUAAGAUUUUAAUCUGCUUGUUUGUUGGGGUAAUCCUUGUCUAGAAAAUUAAGGAAAGAAAUGAAGAGGGAGGGAGAGGUGUAAAAUGUGAAUAAAAAGGUUCUCCACUUCCCUUACA
Molecule: long non-coding RNA, 839 nt
Filed under: Junco hyemalis (dark-eyed junco)
Lineage: Eukaryota; Metazoa; Chordata; Aves; Passeriformes; Passerellidae
Description: lncRNA (ENSJHYG00000007599.1)
Source: RNAcentral